AGCGUGUCCAACUUCCUGCGUCUCUUAGAACUCGCAGAACCUGUUCGUGGGUUGGUGCAAGCUGGCAAGCUAUCGGUCGGACACGCAAAGCUGCUCGCCGGCCUGACGGACCACGACGAGCAGAUCGCAAAGGCCGAGCUGGUGGUGAACCAGGGCCUGACGGUGCGCAACCUUGAAACGCUGAUUCUUUCGGGACGGGAGGGAGAGG
This 208-nucleotide unclassified non-coding RNA is filed under the name plant metagenome. Its description in RNAcentral is "partial contains 5.8S ribosomal RNA, internal transcribed spacer 2, and large subunit ribosomal RNA". The record is from RNAcentral.